RNAcentral lists this ribosomal RNA (253 nucleotides) under uncultured bacterium. RNAcentral describes it as "partial 16S ribosomal RNA". It matches the Rfam family "Bacterial small subunit ribosomal RNA", at positions 524 to 776 of the family's 1533-position model. The record is from RNAcentral.
UACGGAUGAUCCAAGCGUUAUCCGGAUUUAUUGGGUUUAAAGGGUGCGUAGGUGGUUUUUUAAGUCAGGGGUGAAAGACGGCAGCUUAACUGUCGCAGUGCCUUUGAUACUGAAGAACUUGAAUACACUAGAGGUAGGCGGAAUGUGACAAGUAGCGGUGAAAUGCAUAGAUAUGUCACAGAACAACGAUUGCGAAGGCAGCUUACUACACAGCGAUUGACGCUGAGGCACGAAAGCGUGGGGAUCAAACAGG